This 72-nucleotide transfer RNA is filed under the name Toxocara canis (dog roundworm). It matches the Rfam family "tRNA". From Rfam's summary of the family: Transfer RNA (tRNA) molecules are approximately 80 nucleotides in length. Their secondary structure includes four short double-helical elements and three loops (D, anti-codon, and T loops). Further hydrogen bonds mediate the characteristic L-shaped molecular structure. tRNAs have two regions of fundamental functional importance: the anti-codon, which is responsible for specific mRNA codon recognition, and the 3' end, to which the tRNAs corresponding amino acid is attached (by aminoacyl-tRNA synthetases). tRNAs cope with the degeneracy of the genetic code in two manners: having more than one tRNA (with a specific anti-codon) for a particular amino acid; and 'wobble' base-pairing, i.e. permitting non-standard base-pairing at the 3rd anti-codon position. Lineage: Eukaryota; Metazoa; Nematoda; Chromadorea; Rhabditida; Toxocaridae. The record is from Rfam by way of RNAcentral.
CGGGCAGCAGCUCAGUGGUAGAGCAUCCGCCCCGUGUGCGGGAAGACCUCGGUUCGAUUCCCGGCUGCUUAC